GCUGUUUUUGUAAUUCUUCCAGGCGUGCCUUGAAUUUGUCCUGUAAAGUAUUCAGAUUUUGAAAAUGUGAAAACCAUGUAGAUGAAUCAAUUGUAGAAUAAUUUUCAUCAUGUUUUUUGGUGUCCUUCAAGUCAUUUAUAAGGUUCCAGUAUAGUUUUGGAUUGUCUGCGUGUAAAUUUUCUAAUUGAUUAAGCAAGGAUUGUUUGUAUUGUCUGUAUGUUUGUUUCCUUGUUUUAUUGUACUGACGAUAAAGUUUGUAAAAAUGAUUUUUAACAAGUGGGUCUUUUGGAUGCUUUGAGUAUAUUUUCCCAUAAUUUAAAAGAUGCAUUCUCAUAUUUUUUAGGUCCUUGUUAAACCACUUUUUGUGUUUUUUAUGUUUUUUACUGUUUAUUUUUGGUCUUUUUAAAGAUUUGCAAGCAGCUAAGUGUAUAAU
Molecule: long non-coding RNA, 433 nt
Filed under: Mytilus galloprovincialis (Mediterranean mussel)
Lineage: Eukaryota; Metazoa; Mollusca; Bivalvia; Mytilida; Mytilidae
Source: RNAcentral